RNAcentral lists this ribosomal RNA (327 nucleotides) under uncultured eukaryote. RNAcentral describes it as "partial 18S ribosomal RNA". It matches the Rfam family "Eukaryotic small subunit ribosomal RNA", at positions 1470 to 1796 of the family's 1831-position model. The record is from RNAcentral.
CCCUUAGAUGUCCUGGGCCGCACGCGCGUUACACUGAUGCAUUCAACGAGCUUAUAACCUUGGCCGAGAGGCCUGGGCAAUCUUUUAAACGUGCAUCGUGAUAGGGAUAGAUUAUUGCAAUUAUUAAUCUUGAACGAGGAAUUCCUAGUAAACGCAGAUCAUCAAUCUGCAUUGAUUACGUCCCUGCCCUUUGUACACACCGCCCGUCGCACCUACCGAUUGAAUGGUCCGGUGAAGCCUCGGGAUUGUGGCGAGUUCCCUUUAUUGGGAGUUUGUCGCGAGAACUUGUCUAAACCUUAUCAUUUAGAGGAAGGUGAAGUCGUAACA